GGGGAACUGAAACAUCUAAGUACCCCGAGGAAAAGAAAUCAACCGAGAUUCCCCCAGUAGCGGCGAGCGAACGGGGAGGAGCCCAGAGCCUGAAUCAGCAUGUGUGUUAGUGGAAGCGUCUGGAAAGGCGCGCGAUACAGGGUGACAGCCCCGUACACAAAAGCGCAUGUGCUGUGAGCUCGAUGAGUAGGGCGGGACACGUGGUAUCCUGUCUGAAUAUGGGGGGACCAUCCUCCAAGGCUAAAUACUCCUGACUGACCGAUAGUGAACCAGUACCGUGAGGGAAAGGCGAAAAGAACCCCGGCGAGGGGAGUGAAAAAGAACCUGAAACCGUGUACGUACAAGCAGUGGGAGCCCCACCACUAAGCCAGUGGUGAACUCCACAUACGCAUCCUUUGCUGAAGGCAAUGGUUAACGGAGCGAAAGCGACGUUCAACCGCAAAACAAGCAGAGGGGGCUUAGUGGUGGGGUGACUGCGUACCUUUUGUAUAAUGGGUCAGCGACUUAUAUUCUGUAGCAAGGUUAACCGUAUAGGGGAGCCGGAGGGAAACCGAGUCUUAAUUGGGCGUUAAGUUGCAGGGUAUAGACCCGAAACCCGGUGAUCUAGCCAUGGGCAGGUUGAAGGUUGGGUAACACUAACUGGAGGACCGAACCGACUAAUGUUGAAAAAUUAGCGGAUGACCUGUGGCUGGGGGUGAAAGGCCAAUCAAACCGGGAGAUAGCUGGUUCUCCCCGAAAGCUAUUUAGGUAGCGCCUCGUGAAUUCAUCUCCGGGGGUAGAGCACUGUUUCGGCUAGGGGGCCAUCCCGGCUUACCAACCCGAUGCAAACUGCGAAUACCGGAGAAUGUUAUCACGGGAGACACACGGCGGGUGCUAACGUCCGUCGUGAAGAGGGAAACAACCCAGACCGCCAGCUAAGGUCCCAAAGUCAUGGUUAAGUGGGAAACGAUGUGGGAAGGCCCAGACAGCCAGGAUGUUGGCUUAGAAGCAGCCAUCAUUUAAAGAAAGCGUAAUAGCUCACUGGUCGAGUCGGCCUGCGCGGAAGAUGUAACGGGGCUAAACCAUGCACCGAAGCUGCGGCAGCGA
Molecule: ribosomal RNA, 1086 nt
Filed under: Salmonella enterica subsp. enterica serovar Thompson
Lineage: Bacteria; Pseudomonadati; Pseudomonadota; Gammaproteobacteria; Enterobacterales; Enterobacteriaceae
Description: bacterial LSU rRNA
Rfam family: Bacterial large subunit ribosomal RNA
Source: RNAcentral